GGGCGGCUAUCUCAGUUGGUUAGAGAGUCUGGUUUACACCCAGAAUGUCGGGGGUUCGAGUCCUUCGCCGCCCACCA
Molecule: transfer RNA, 77 nt
Filed under: Verrucomicrobia bacterium ADurb.Bin070
Lineage: Bacteria; Pseudomonadati; Verrucomicrobiota
Also listed under: 1 other name
Description: tRNA-Val
Rfam family: tRNA
About the family: Transfer RNA (tRNA) molecules are approximately 80 nucleotides in length.
Source: RNAcentral